This 162-nucleotide ribosomal RNA is filed under the name uncultured bacterium. Its description in RNAcentral is "partial 16S ribosomal RNA". It matches the Rfam family "Bacterial small subunit ribosomal RNA", at positions 1340 to 1500 of the family's 1533-position model. The record is from RNAcentral.
AAUCGCGGAUCAGAAUGCCGCGGUGAGUACGUUCCCGGGUCUUGUACACACCGCCCGUCACACCAUGGGAGGUUGGAAAUGCCCGAAGUCAGUGGCCCAACCUACGGGAGGGAGCUGCCGAAGGCAGGUUCGAUGACUGGGGUGAAGUCGUAACAAGGUAAC